GAUGAACGCUGGCGGCGUGCUUAACACAUGCAAGUCGAACGGAAAGGCCGAAGCUUGCUUCGGUACUCGAGUGGCGAACGGGUGAGUAACACGUGGGUGAUCUGCCCUGUACUUCGGGAUAAGCUUGGGAAACUGGGUCUAAUACCGGAUAUGACAAUCUCUUGGAUGGGGUUGUGGAAAGCUUUUGCGGUAUGGGAUGAGCUCGCGGCCUAUCAGCUUGUUGGUGGGGUAAUGGCCUACCAAGGCGUCGACGGGUAGCCGGCCUGAGAGGGUGUACGGCCACAUUGGGACUGAGAUACGGCCCAGACUCCUACGGGAGGCAGCAGUGGGGAAUAUUGCACAAUGGGCGCAAGCCUGAUGCAGCGGCGCCGCGUGGGGGAUGACGGCCUUCGGGUUGUAAACUCCUUUCGCAACCGACGAAGCUUUUGUGACGGUAGGUUGAGAAGAAGCACCGGCUAACUACGUG
Molecule: ribosomal RNA, 466 nt
Filed under: uncultured bacterium
Lineage: Bacteria
Description: partial 16S ribosomal RNA
Rfam family: Bacterial small subunit ribosomal RNA
Source: RNAcentral